AUUCCAGCUCCAAUAGCGUACAUUAAAGUUGUUGCAGUUAAAAAGCUCGUAGUUGGAUUUCUGGUGUCGCAGUGCUUCCGCGUGUUUAAUUACAUGUCGAGUUGUGUUUGCGUCGCCAUCUUUUAGCAGCACCUUCCUGGCAUUAGGUUGUUGGGUUGGUAAUGCUAAUCGUUUACUGUGAAGAAAUUAGAGUGUUCAAAGCAGGCUUAUGCCGUUGAAUACGUUAGCAUGGAAUAAUAAGAUAGGACCUCGGUUCUAUUUUGUUGGUUUCUAGAGCUGAGGUAAUGAUUGAUAGGGAUAGUUGGGGGCAUUCGUAUUUAACUGUCAGAGGUGAAAUUCUUGGAUUUAUGAAAGACGAACUUCUGCGAAAGCAUUUGCCAAGGAUGUUUUCAUCA
This 395-nucleotide ribosomal RNA is filed under the name Leptocylindrus sp. Its description in RNAcentral is "partial small subunit ribosomal RNA". It matches the Rfam family "Eukaryotic small subunit ribosomal RNA", at positions 582 to 975 of the family's 1831-position model. Lineage: Eukaryota; Bacillariophyta; Leptocylindrophyceae; Leptocylindrales; Leptocylindraceae. The record is from RNAcentral.